CGUGUAGGCGUCCUGGUUAGUCAGAUGUGGAAGCCUUGGGCUUAACCCAAGAAGUGCAUUUGAUACUGCCGGGAUUGAGUCGUACAUGGGAGGGCGGAAUUCCUGGUGUAGCGGUGAAAUGCGUAGAUAUCAGGAGGAAGGCCAGUGGUGAAGACGGUCCUCUGGGUAAUGACUGACGCUGAGGCGCGAAAGCGUGGGUAGCAAACA
This 207-nucleotide ribosomal RNA is filed under the name uncultured bacterium. Its description in RNAcentral is "partial 16S ribosomal RNA". It matches the Rfam family "Bacterial small subunit ribosomal RNA", at positions 568 to 774 of the family's 1533-position model. The record is from RNAcentral.